RNAcentral lists this ribosomal RNA (416 nucleotides) under uncultured bacterium. RNAcentral describes it as "bacterial SSU rRNA". It matches the Rfam family "Bacterial small subunit ribosomal RNA", at positions 355 to 787 of the family's 1533-position model. The record is from RNAcentral.
UGGGGAAUAUUGCACAAUGGGGAAACCCUGAUGCAGCGACGCCGCGUGAAGGAAGAAGUAUCUCGGUAUGUAAACUUCUAUCAGCAGGGAAGACAAUGACGGUACCUGACUAAGAAGCCCCGGCUAACUACGUGCCAGCAGCCGCGGUAAUACGUAGGGGGCAAGCGUUAUCCGGAUUUACUGGGUGUAAAGGGAGCGUAGACGGAUCUGCAAGUCUGGAGUGAAAGCCCGGGGCUCAACCCCGGGCACUGCUUUUGAAAUCUGUGCGGCUAGAUUUCAGGAGAGGUAAGCGGAAUUCCUAGUGUAGCGGUGAAAUGCGUAGAUAUUAGGAGGAACACCAGUGGCGAAGGCGGCUUACUGGACGGUAACUGACGUUGAGGCUCGAAAGCGUGGGGAGCAAACAGGAUUAGAUACCC